Molecule: long non-coding RNA, 1564 nt
Organism: Galleria mellonella (greater wax moth)
Lineage: Eukaryota; Metazoa; Arthropoda; Insecta; Lepidoptera; Pyralidae
Exons: 3
Source: RefSeq, a predicted model, not a curated record
UACAUCCUACAACAAAUUGUAAGAAAUUAGUUACCUACUCAUUUACUAGAAAAUGUUAGAGUGAUUUAUACAGCCAUGGCCAAAAGUAUUAGCCACCCUAAAAAUUCUUAGAAAUUUCUUAUCUUGUGACCUGUACUGGGUCUAUUGUCGCAUAGUACACGUCUAAUGAUUAAAAUGAGCCAAUCAAAACAACGCAUCAUGUCAUAAAACUAUAAACACAAUAGAGGCGACUCAUUUCCAGUUCAUAAAAAAAAAAAAACUACAAAAUAAGCGCCGUGAAGUAACGAGGAACGAUUAAAAAUCCAGUUGUUGUCUAAAGAAGGCAAAAAUAAAAGUGAAUUUGCCAAGAUUAUGAAAUGUCCUCAUAAGUAACAUAAUGUAUACCUUAAAUCAGUAUAAGAUGAUCACAAGACACGAAAACUAGAAAGUGGAAGGAAAAGAAUUGCAUCUGCAGGAGAAGACAGACAAUUAAUGUGAAGGAGAGGGAGACUGUAUAAAAGUCGAUUGUUUGGGUACUUCUGUUCCAUUUGUGUUUUAACUGUAAAGCAUUUUUUUUUUGUAUGGCUGUGUUUCGGUUUGAAGGGUGGGAUAAGACGUAAAUUUACAGGGUACAGAAGAAUAACACCUGAGUCCUCAGGAAUGGCAACGCAUGGGGGGUAUCAUUGGCAAAACAGUAUACUCUGUUAUGUCCAUGGUACUGCUCAUGUCUAUAGGCGACGGUUACCACUUUCCAUCAGGUGGGCCGUCAGCUUGUUUGCCAUUCUAAGUUGUAUAAAAAAAACUUUGAAAAAUUGUAAGAAGGCAUCUUCUGAAUUGGCUACUGAACUAAACCAGAUUCUGGAGAAAAAGCUAUUUGCUAGAACUGCUACAAGAAGGCUCCAGGAUGCUGGACUCAAGGAUUGCAAGGCAAGGAAGAAGCCGUGAUUGUCCAAGAAGAUCUUGAUCUUGCGUUUGCAGUGGUUUUAGAACAUUAACAUUACACCGAGGAAGAUUGAGCGAAUAUUGUUUUGUCUGAUGAAUCCAAUUUUGCGUUAUUUGGUACUACAAGUGCCACCUACGCGAGACACAGAGUUGGCAACAAAUUCAUGCUGGAGUGUGUGGCGCCAACUAAAACAGGGUGGAGGCAGUGUUAUGGUCUGGAGCUGCAUGUCUGUCUCAGGAAUUGGAAAAAUGAUCACGUGUAAAGGCCGAAUGGAUUCGAAAAAAUGUAUCGAGGUGUUGAAAAAAGUGCUGGAUAUUGAAUUGAAUAUGAAGUUCGGUGAUAUGAACCUAGAUGGCCUCCGUUUCAAUAGGACACUGCCCCAUGCUACAAUUCCAGAACUACUACGAGUUGGUUUGAGAAAAAUCGUAUAAAGCUUCUAAGUUGGCCCCCUCAGUUACCGAAUGUUAACCCUAUCGAAUAUUUAUAGCCGAUUUCAAAACAUUUGAUUACUUACAAAAAAAUUUCAAAGAAUUGUUUGAUACAAGAGCGGAAUGCUCUAACUCCAGAAGAAUGUAAAAAUUUAAUUUCCUCUUUAUCCAAAAGAAUAAAUGCUGUAAUUAAAGCGAAGGGUUUAAAUACGAA